This is a long non-coding RNA of Dicentrarchus labrax (European seabass), 1303 nucleotides long. RefSeq lists it as uncharacterized. The transcript has 5 exons. NCBI's taxonomy places the organism in Eukaryota, Metazoa, Chordata, Actinopteri, Moronidae. The record is from RefSeq and is a predicted model, not a curated record.
CAUUUCAUGUUCUUAUUUAAAUGUGUUGUAUUUGCUUCAUGUUGCAGAUCAAACCAGUCUGAGAGCAUCAAUCAGGGUGAGGCUCAACGUGAUGUAUACUCCUCUCUUCUCCACGGUGACGCUUCUCUCUAUGAAUCAAUGAAACGCCCACAAGGCAGUAAAAACGCGCGUCCUGACAAAGUGUCUGUCUCACUGAACGGCGAGGGAAACUGGAGAGUGAGGUUUACUGAAACCAGCUCCCGGUCAUGUCGCUCCGACACGCAAAGCUACCGGCAGAGUGAUGCAGUGAACAUCACAAUACAGAAUGAAUCUCAAGAUGUUGCAUAUUCUUCCACCGAACUUAAAAACAUUUGAAAAAGGAAACAACAUGAACCAGAGGAGAGCUCUGUUUACUGCGAUGUGACAACAGGAACUGCAAAUACAGUCAGUCCCAACAGUCAUGCUCAGUUUGUGUUGAAAUGUGUCACAUCAUUACACAGGAGGUCAUUCAGUGUGCGGUUCAGUUAAUGUCAGUCACUGCGGGUAGCUACUACAUACUACCACUGGGUGUCACCAGACAAAUUCUACACAUGUAUACACUGUAUACACUGUAUGUGGGCCUUUUAGACCUUUUGAGUUUGUCUGUUCCAUAUACAGAGUGUGAUGACUGCUGAGGCAUAUUUCCAUUUACUAUUGAUACACUGUAUUAGUAUUUUUGUAUUGUAUUUUAUUUCAUUAGUUUUUACAAUUUUUGUAUAAUACUUUGAAUGGGAGUUGUCAACUGUUAGCAGUUGGAUUGGCUUUUCAUUUUCAGGUGACUGUGCAGCUUUAAAGUCAACAUAUUUUUCAGUGUUUCAAUGAUUACUUUAUUAUAUGUAAAGAUCUGCUGUCAACAUGUACCCGUCUUAUUUUUUACAAAUGUAUUAUAGCGACCGUAAAUAUUUUAUUUCCCUCCAAAUAGAUUUCUACUUACUGUCUUAAUCUGUAUAAGUGACAACAGAUAUUUAGGACAUAUUGUUGAUCAUUCUUUUGUUUGCCUCUUUUAUGGUUACGGGUUAUGUUGUAUAGUACAGGUUAUUUCCUGUUUUAUGUUGACAGUCCUUCUUUAUGUGUCUUGUGUAACCUCACUUCCUGUCUUUGUCUGUUUUCCCACCAGGUUCGAUUGUCUGGUCCGCCCUGAUUAGUUUCACCUGUAGUUAUCCUCCUGUUUGUGUGCGUUUCUUUGUCUUAGCGCCAGUUUGUAUUUGUCAGUCGGUGCAUGCAGCCCUAGAUAUUGAACUCUGACUGUAUGAUUAACUCAUAAUUAAAACUUAAGCACAUUGUA